Molecule: small RNA, 115 nt
Filed under: uncultured Erwinia sp.
Lineage: Bacteria; Pseudomonadati; Pseudomonadota; Gammaproteobacteria; Enterobacterales; Erwiniaceae
Description: Enterobacteria greA leader
Rfam family: Enterobacteria greA leader
Source: RNAcentral
GCCAUACUACGGUGCAAUCCGGUGGAAAGUAAACGAUGACCCCCGCUGAACUCUGCGUUAAAAUACGUAUCAAAUUGCAAAAGAAACCGGGCUCUGUACUUUUGAGUCAGGUUUU